Molecule: non-coding RNA, 32 nt
Filed under: Mus musculus (house mouse)
Lineage: Eukaryota; Metazoa; Chordata; Mammalia; Rodentia; Muridae
Source: RNAcentral
UGAAGAAAAUGUCUCUUCCUCCUCUAGCGACC